RNAcentral lists this transfer RNA (72 nucleotides) under Pisodonophis cancrivorus (longfin snake-eel). RNAcentral's name for it is "tRNA-Tyr". It matches the Rfam family "tRNA". Rfam says of the family: Transfer RNA (tRNA) molecules are approximately 80 nucleotides in length. The record is from RNAcentral. Lineage: Eukaryota; Metazoa; Chordata; Actinopteri; Anguilliformes; Ophichthidae.
GGUAAAGAUGGCCGAGCGUUUAGGCGGUGGGCUGUAGACCCAUAGACAGGGGUUAAAAUCCUCUUCUUAUCA